Molecule: long non-coding RNA, 1210 nt
Organism: Vigna angularis (adzuki bean)
Lineage: Eukaryota; Viridiplantae; Streptophyta; Magnoliopsida; Fabales; Fabaceae
Exons: 2
Source: RefSeq, a predicted model, not a curated record
UUUCUCAAUUCUUGAUUCUUAUAAUCAAUAUUAACCUGGUUGUUGUGUUGACUUUAUAGAUCUUGGGUUAGAUAUGUAGUUGCAUUGAUCCGUAUGUUGUGUUACGAUAUAGCAAAUGCCAGGUCCACAAGACACAAUGCAACAAACCCUAUUGGAUGAAGGAUUUUCAUCUAAGAACCGGCCCAAAUGCAAACAGUAUCCCUUUUUCAUUUCUUUCAGUUUUAAGCAUUUUAACAAGGGCCUCCUGAAGAACCCAACAAACACUAUUUAGGUCUACAUUUUCAUUGAAUGAUUUGAAAAGUUUUUUACUUACUAGUUUUUAUUUCCUUGUCUCAAGUGCCUUAGUGUAGCCAUAACAAAGGCCUAGAGUAUUUGGUAUUUUCAUUGCUGCCUCCAUGCCUCCCAAAUGGAGUCACAAGACAAUCGUGAAAUUGGAAUGGAACCCAAACAUGAGAGCUUGCACCCCAUCCUUUACCAUCCUCAUUGACCAGGUCACGGGCCAAACAUCAACAUCUCUUCCUUAUUUCACAACCCACUUGGGACAGACUUACCAACAUGCCACCACAAUGUCCAUUGAAGCUCACCUAUCUCUGACCACCUCCCCCAGUUUCAAAUCUGCCACCUAGGCCACCCAAACACCAGAUUGUUCUUUCGGAAGGAUCUGACCCCUUACACUGACAUUUUCGGGCAGACCAAUACGUUGCCUUCUACCAAAUCCCUCUUGAACAAUGUCUAUCCAUGGUGGCUUCCCAUAUGAAGGAUGAUGCCCUGAGUUGGUUUAAAUUGAUGCAUCAAAGCAACUUCCUUAUAGAUUGGGUGUCCUUUACAGGCUCCCUCUGUUUUGGUCCAUCCUCCUACACCAAUCACUAGGCAAAACUAUUCAAGUUACACCAAACCGGGUUAGUUACAGAUUAUCAAGUAUGUUUUGAAAACUUUGCAAUUGUACUAUUGGCCUCUCCUAGGACAUUGCUCUUAAUUAUUAUUAUUUUUUGUUUCUUUCUCCAGAUACUUGUUGUGAAAUAACCAUACUCUACCUUAUUCUAUUUCCCAAGCCAUCAGCCUUGCUAAAUUGGUCAAAGAUAAGAUUCACAACUCUAAAGACAAACCUUUUCGGCCAUUCACACACACUACCUCUACCUAGAAUACUUCACCACCCAUAACCCGUAGUCAUGCACUACCUACUCUCUCUCCCACCCUACCCCUGAAACAC